AAAAAAAAAAAAAAAAGGAAAGUUGAAUGCUAGACUUGAGAACACCAAAAAGAUUCAAGCAGCCAGAACAUCAAAUUAAUCACUCCCACUAAUUUUCAUAUAAAGGAGAAUAGCAUAUCGAAUGUUAAAAUCGCUCUCUACCCUAAACAACCCAUUAUUAGCUAUAUAACUCUCAUCCUUGCCAUCUCGAAUUUCGUUUCUCCUAG
RNAcentral lists this unclassified non-coding RNA (206 nucleotides) under Hevea brasiliensis (rubber tree). The record is from RNAcentral. Lineage: Eukaryota; Viridiplantae; Streptophyta; Magnoliopsida; Malpighiales; Euphorbiaceae.